ACCGACACAGGUAGGCAGGGCGAGUAGCCCACGGCGAACGAGUGAUUCGUGGUUAAGGAACUCGGCAAAAAAGCGGCCGUAACUUAGGUAUAUGGCCUGCCCCGCUUAGCGGGGCCGCAGCGAAAGAUUCCCUGGCGACUGUUUAUCAAAAACACAGCUCCCUGCUAACUCGCAAGAGGAUGUAUAGGGGGUGAUGCCUGACCUAUGCGAGAAGGUUAACGGUGGAGGUGGUAUUUCUAGCAAUAGAAGUACUGCUGAUGCCCGAAGCCCUCGUAAAUGUCAGCGAUAACUAUAAUCGUUCUAAGGUAGCGUAAUUCCUUGUCUGGUAAGUUCAGACGUGCACGAAAGGCCUAACGACUGGGGAACUGUCUCAACCACGAGCUCGGUGAAAUUGCGAUUCCAGCGAAGACGCUGGGUACCUGCAGCAAGACGAAAAGACCCCGGGAGCUUUACUGUAGCUUAUUAUUGGCUAUAGAGUUUGGAUGCGUAGCAUAGAGGGUAGGCUUUGAGACCGUGUUUUCGGACGCGGUGGAGCCACCAGUGAAAUACCCUUCUUUCAAACUUUAUAAUCUAACCGGCGCGGCAAAAACGCGUUGGGACAGUGGUUGGCGGGCAGUUUUAGUGGGGCGCUAUCCUCCAAAAAAGUAACGGAGGAGUCCAUUAAGGUCGGCUAGCUUCGGAUGGAAAUUGAAGCGAUAGGGUAAAGCCAAAAGCCGGCUUAACUGCAAGGCGUACAUGCCGCGCAGAUGCGAAAGCAGGGCUUAGUGAACUGUUCGUGGUUAGUAGAAACGCGAACAAUCAUCGGACAAAAGCUACCCCGGGGAUAACAGGCUAGUCGCAUCCAAGAGUCCAUAUCGACGAUGCGGUUCGGCACCUCGAUGUCGGCUCAUCUUAUCCUGGGGCUGGAG
This 908-nucleotide ribosomal RNA is filed under the name Candidatus Azambacteria bacterium GW2011_GWA2_42_9. RNAcentral's name for it is "bacterial LSU rRNA". It matches the Rfam family "Bacterial large subunit ribosomal RNA", at positions 1653 to 2558 of the family's 2925-position model. The record is from RNAcentral. Lineage: Bacteria; Candidatus Azamiibacteriota.